This 497-nucleotide ribosomal RNA is filed under the name uncultured bacterium. RNAcentral's name for it is "partial 16S ribosomal RNA". The stretch from base 59 to 497 matches the Rfam family "Bacterial small subunit ribosomal RNA", at positions 39 to 507 of the family's 1533-position model. The record is from RNAcentral.
GGGGGGGGGGGGGGGGGGGGGGAGGAGGGGCAGGGGGAGGGGAGGGGCGAGGGGGUGGGGGGUGUGGGGGUGGCGGCGGGCGGGGGAGGAAGAGGUGGAGAAGCUACCGAGUAGACGGGGAUAACGGGGGGAAGGCGGAGCUAAUAGCGGAGAAUAGAUGGAACCGCAUGGUUGAAGGGUGAAAGACGGUUUUGCUGUCACUGAUAGAUGGAUCCGCGCCGCAUUGGCUAGUUGGUAAGGUAACGGCUUACCAAGGCAACGAUGCGUAGCCGACCUGAGAGGGUGAUCGGCCACACUGGAGCUGAGACACCGUCCAGGCGCCUACGGGAGGCAGCAGUAGGGAAUCUUACGCAAUGGGCGAAAGCCUGACGGAGCAACGCCGCGUGAGUGAUGAAGGUCUUCGGAUCGUAAAGCUCUGUUAUUAGGGAAGAACAAAUGUGUAAGUAACUAUGCACGUCUUGACGGUACCUAAUCAGAAAGCCACGGCUAACUACGUG